RNAcentral lists this ribosomal RNA (253 nucleotides) under uncultured bacterium. Its description in RNAcentral is "partial 16S ribosomal RNA". It matches the Rfam family "Bacterial small subunit ribosomal RNA", at positions 524 to 776 of the family's 1533-position model. The record is from RNAcentral.
UACGUAGGGGGCUAGCGUUGUCCGGAUUUAUUGGGCGUAAAGCGCGUGUAGGCGGCCCGGUAAGUCCGCUGUGAAAGUCGGGGGCUCAACCCUCGAAUGCCGGUGGAUACUGUCGGGCUAGAGUGCGGAAGAGGCGAGUGGAAUUCCUGGUGUAGCGGUGAAAUGCGCAGAUAUCAGGAGGAACACCAAUUGCGAAGGCAGCUCGCUGGGACGUGACUGACGCUGAGACGCGAAAGCGUGGGGAGCAAACAGG